This 59-nucleotide small nucleolar RNA is filed under the name Otolemur garnettii (small-eared galago). Its description in RNAcentral is "Small nucleolar RNA SNORD56". It matches the Rfam family "Small nucleolar RNA SNORD56". From Rfam's summary of the family: U56 belongs to the C/D class of snoRNA which contain the C (UGAUGA) and D (CUGA) box motifs. Lineage: Eukaryota; Metazoa; Chordata; Mammalia; Primates; Galagidae. The record is from Rfam by way of RNAcentral.
CUACAAUGAUGGCAAUAAAUUUUGUCAACAAUGGUCCACCUAACUUUGGAUCUGACUGA